GACGAACGCUGGCGGCGUGCUUAACACAUGCAAGUCGAACGCUGAAGCACCAGCUUGCUGGUGUGGAUGAGUGGCGAACGGGUGAGUAAUACGUGAGUAACCUGCCCUUGACUCUGGGAUAAGCCCGGGAAACUGGGUCUAAUACUGGAUGCUACAUGUCACCGCAUGGUGGGGUGUGGAAAGGGUUUACUGGUCUUGGAUGGGCUCACGGCCUAUCAGCUUGUUGGUGAGGUAAUGGCUCACCAAGGCGACGACGGGUAGCCGGCCUGAGAGGGUGACCGGCCACACUGGGACUGAGACACGGCCCAGACUCCUACGGGAGGCAGCAGUGGGGAAUAUUGCACAAUGGGCGAAAGCCUGAUGCAGCGACGCCGCGUGAGGGAUGACGGCCUUCGGGUUGUAAACCUCUUUCAGCAGGGAAGAAGCCACAAGUGACGGUACCUGCAGAAGAAGCGCCGGCUAACUACGUG
RNAcentral lists this ribosomal RNA (470 nucleotides) under uncultured bacterium. RNAcentral describes it as "partial 16S ribosomal RNA". It matches the Rfam family "Bacterial small subunit ribosomal RNA", at positions 28 to 507 of the family's 1533-position model. The record is from RNAcentral.